AAUCUUUGGUAUCCAGGAAAGAGAAACACAGAAAUUGGGAAAGAUACAAAAGGAAAAGCAGAAGCAAAAAAGGAACUUGGUUUUAUGGAUUUCAUUUCGGGUUGGAAGACCAUGGAGAGUGUACCAAAGCUGUUAUCUGACUAUAUGGCAAAGAAAUUUUAUUUGCAUGUCCUGGUGUCAUAUACAUUGCUAUUUGACAAAAAUCAAUCAUGGUUUUUUAAUCUUAUGGUUUCAGGAAAGGGUUAAGUUACCAAAAAAUCAAAUCUUCCUUAUACUGUUCAUGAGGCUCAUUUAAUAUAUAUUAUUAUAUAUAAAUUAUAAUAUAUAAAGAAUAAUACUGUUAAUUUAAUCAUAGAAGCUGAAUAUUGCCCUGCCUUAUGAGUCAUGCAUUUAAAAAGAAAAUGAAAAAAAAAAGACACAUCUUCAAAUGCUCCAAGAAAACCUCAUUCCUGCUGCUAAUUCAUAUGUAAAACUGAAAAUUAACAUGCAGUCAAUGAGGCUAUUUCCACAGCUUUAGGUACCCAGUGCUGAGCCUUUAUGAAGAAAGUGUACGUGCAAUGAAGUCUGUGUUCCACUUUCAAACUGAAGUAUGUGUCUGGGCUUUUAGGCAACAGUAAGCGAGUUUCAAGAUGAGUUAGCCUACAGAACCUAGGGCUUUGUACAUCUGCACUCCACCUGACUGCAGGAACUUUGAGCAAAUUUCUACCUUGCUGCAAAAGUUUCAUUACUUAAUUAUAUAACCAUCAUAAACUGACAGGACAGAGCAAUAAAAUUUUCAGCUUAUGUAAUAGGAACUGCAUAGGAUUGGAGCAGACCCAAGAAGCAUGGGGUGGGAGAAUCAUUUAACAGGUUACAAAGAUCUCUACUGAAGGAUGUUUGAAAGUACUUUGUCUUCACAAAUAUUUUUGUCAUACUCUUCUUUAGUGCGACUAUCUGUGUCAAGGACAAUUUAGCAAAGAGCAAGGGAAGAAAACUUUGACAAAUUUCUCCUCAGCAUGAGGACAGUUUUUAUGGGGAUACAAAAAAGCUACUGAGCCAACCGAUCAAACUAUCACUUUCACAGCCUGGCAAAGGCCAGAAAUACUACUAAAUUGAUGAACAAGCCACAGCAAUGAGGUUGCCCAAAGCUCUAAUGAAACAGGAAUGUCUAAAGACACACCAAGUCCCACAGAAUAUUACAGCACAACUGUGCAAAACCUUCCCCAGCGAACAGGAUUACCACUGUGAACAGGUUAUUCUGCUCAACAGACCCUUCUUUGAGUGCUGAACAUUGAACCCAUAAGACUGUAAUGCCUUUUGCCCUCUUUUGAGUAACUUAUUCCAAUCCACAGCCCUUUGAACUUCUGGAAACCCCUCAGCACCAUCAGCAAUUACACAGCACGUCAUGAAUGCACAAAUUAGUUAUCAAAGAUUAGCAAAUACCAUCAUGUCUGCCAAUUUGCUGUAACUUCUGCACACAGAACUUUUUGCCCUGCUAUAAAGGUUACCCAUAAUUCUCUUAAAUACUUUUAAAGCAUAAACAAAUAAAACUGAAGGUGAUAACUCCAAAAUAACUCAUUAAAUGUUUUAAUUGAGUUCUCGCACUUCCCUACCAAGAAAACACUACAAGAAGUUCCUCCCAAUACACGUUUCCCUAACACCACAUGUACAUCUGCACAGCCUUAAUUUUGUAGCAGUGACAAGUCUCAAAAAAAGUAAUGAAUUAGCCUAGCAACUCUGUAAUAAAUAUAAACACAUAUAUAGAUUUCUGCAGGUUUGGGACAAAAAAAACCCAAUUGCUUUUUUUAAAAAAAUCUAAACCUACACGAAGCAAAAUUCGAUUGCUAUAAAAUAACUCUGCCUUAAGUCAAUUGCAGCUUGCACUUUACCGAUUAUUUUGAACUGUUGCUACGUAAAAAUGCGUGGAAGCACUUCUGAGUAGUGACGAGUUCUGUCAUUGUAGCAGUGCCACCCAGUGGUUACCUGUCCACUACUUCCUAUGCAUACUGCCCAUCAGCUUCUGAACAUGCUGCGGGAGUUGAAUUUCUGCACAGCUCCAGCAGCUGCCUGCAGCAGACACCUGUGGCCGAGGUUUGCCCUGUGAGGUUGUCCACAGAACGUUCUGCCAUCCUCACUGCUAAGUUCUUUGACCAGCUGCAACCUGCCAAGCACCAGUGGAGAGCUGUUCAGCUGCCCUUUCCUUGAGCCAGUGAAUGUGUUACUGCUAACUUUCCAGUAACUUGGGAGAUUCUCUUGCCCCUUUGAUAGCAAUCACUAACUGGGCAGGACUUCAAAUUUCAGCAGAUAAUUGGAGAGCUCAUCAAAUUCUGCUCGAUUCCUAAAACAUCACUGGUUUCACUGCUGACCAAAUAACUAUGUUUGAAAGAUGAGCAAAGACAUUUAUACAUACCAGAAGAACAUGCUGUCAAGUGCCAAGCAAGGAGGUGCCAGCAUAACCCUUCCACCACUUGUAUCUUUAAAAUUUCCUAGCUUUGUUCAUUUACUAUUAAUUUAUUAGAAUCAGCACAUAAAACAUCAGCUUUUUGUGUUUUAUUCAAUUUUCAAUGAAAGCAAAUAAGUGAGCAUAUUUAACCACAAAUCUCCCCAAAUUACUUGUUUCCAUAUCUAAAAUACUAAAAAGCUUUCACUAUCCCAGCCUCAUGUGUCUCUAUUGCAAAACUGUCAUGGACACUUUCAUACUUAUUUUAAAUACAACUAAUUAACAUAAGCCUUUGUUUUGAAAAGUUAUUUUAUUUUCAUAUACUUUAGAAUUAUGCAAGGAUUAAUUAGUGAAUAUUAGGGUUAAUUAGUGAAGUUGUUGCUCAGAUUUUUCCUUUGGAACCAACCGUUUCUUGAAAUACUGAAGAAUAUUUUAAAUAUAUUUGUAUUUACAAAAUUAGAAUAUUUUAAUUAACUAAGAACUAUCCAAAGAAAU
This is a long non-coding RNA of Falco peregrinus (peregrine falcon), 2914 nucleotides long. RefSeq lists it as uncharacterized. The transcript is spliced from 3 exons. The record is from RefSeq and is a predicted model, not a curated record. Lineage: Eukaryota; Metazoa; Chordata; Aves; Falconiformes; Falconidae.